This 503-nucleotide ribosomal RNA is filed under the name uncultured bacterium. RNAcentral describes it as "partial 16S ribosomal RNA". It matches the Rfam family "Bacterial small subunit ribosomal RNA", at positions 30 to 523 of the family's 1533-position model. The record is from RNAcentral.
AUUGAACGCUGGCGGCAGGCUUAACACAUGCAAGUCGAGCGGGGUGAUGGUGCUUGCACUAUCACUUAGCGGCGGACGGGUGAGUAAUGCUUAGGAAUCUGCCUAUUAGUGGGGGACAACAUCUCGAAAGGGAUGCUAAUACCGCAUACGUCCUACGGGAGAAAGCAGGGGAUCACUUGUGACCUUGCGCUAAUAGAUGAGCCUAAGUCGGAUUAGCUAGUUGGUGGGGUAAAGGCCUACCAAGGCGACGAUCUGUAGUGGGUCUGAGAGGAUGAUCCGCCACACUGGGACUGAGACACGGCCCAGACUCCUACGGGAGGCAGCAGUGGGGAAUACUGGACAAGGGGGGGAACCCUGAUCCAGCCAUGCCGCGUGUGUGAAGAAGGCCUUAUGGUUGUAAAGCACUUUAAGCGAGGAGGAGGCUCUUUUGGUUAAUACCCAAGAUGAGUGGACGUUACUCGCAGAAUAAGCACCGGCUAACUCUGUGCCAGCCGCCGCUGUAA